RNAcentral lists this transfer RNA (77 nucleotides) under Acinetobacter sp. T_3_1. RNAcentral describes it as "tRNA-Asp". It matches the Rfam family "tRNA". Rfam says of the family: Transfer RNA (tRNA) molecules are approximately 80 nucleotides in length. Their secondary structure includes four short double-helical elements and three loops (D, anti-codon, and T loops). The record is from RNAcentral. Lineage: Bacteria; Pseudomonadati; Pseudomonadota; Gammaproteobacteria; Moraxellales; Moraxellaceae.
GCAGCGGUAGUUCAGUUGGUUAGAAUACCGGCCUGUCACGCCGGGGGUCGCGAGUUCGAGUCCCGUCCGCUGCGCCA